Molecule: ribosomal RNA, 466 nt
Filed under: uncultured bacterium
Lineage: Bacteria
Description: partial 16S ribosomal RNA
Rfam family: Bacterial small subunit ribosomal RNA
Source: RNAcentral
GAUGAACGCUGGCGGCGUGCUUAACACAUGCAAGUCGAACGAUGAAGCCCAGCUUGCCGGGUGGAUUAGUGGCGAACGGGUGAGUAACACGUGAGUAUCCUGCCCUUAACUCUGGGAUAAGCCUGGGAAACUGGGUCUAAUACCGGAUAGGAGCGUCCACCGCAUGGUGGGUGUUGGAAAGAUUUAUCGGUUUUGGAUGGACUCGCGGCCUAUCAGCUUGUUGGUGAGGUAAUGGCUCACCAAGGCGACGACGGGUAGCCGGCCUGAGAGGGUGACCGGCCACACUGGGACUGAGACACGGCCCAGACUCCUACGGGAGGCAGCAGUGGGGAAUAUUGCACAAUGGGCGCAAGCCUGAUGCAGCGACGCCGCGUGAGGGAUGACGGCCUUCGGGUUGUAAACCUCUUUCAGUAGGGAAGAAGCGAAAGUGACGGUACCUGCAGAAGAAGCACCGGCUAACUACGUG